GACGAACGCUGGCGGCGUGCCUAAUACAUGCAAGUAGAACGCUGAAGGAGGAGCUUGCUUCUCUGGAUGAGUUGCGAACGGGUGAGUAACGCGUAGGUAACCUGCCUGGUAGCGGGGGAUAACUAUUGGAAACGAUAGCUAAUACCGCAUAAUAGUAGAUGUUGCAUGACAUUUGCUUAAAAGGUGCAAUUGCAUCACUACCAGAUGGACCUGCGUUGUAUUAGCUAGUUGGUGAGGUAACGGCUCACCAAGGCGACGAUACAUAGCCGACCUGAGAGGGUGAUCGGCCACACUGGGACUGAGACACGGCCCAGACUCCUACGGGAGGCAGCAGUAGGGAAUCUUCGGCAAUGGACGGAAGUCUGACCGAGCAACGCCGCGUGAGUGAAGAAGGUUUUCGGAUCGUAAAGCUCUGUUGUAAGAGAAGAACGAGUGUGAGAGUGGAAAGUUCACACUGUGACGGUAUCUUACCAGAAAGGGACGGCUAGCUACGUG
RNAcentral lists this ribosomal RNA (495 nucleotides) under uncultured bacterium. RNAcentral's name for it is "partial 16S ribosomal RNA". It matches the Rfam family "Bacterial small subunit ribosomal RNA", at positions 28 to 507 of the family's 1533-position model. The record is from RNAcentral.